UUUUUUUUUUUUUAAUCUUUUAGAGCCACACCUGCUGCAUAUGGAGGUUCCCAGGUGCAACUCUUAAAAAAUAAUAAUAAUAAAAAAUAAAUAAAAGGAGGGCUUAUGGUUUUGGGUAGGGAGUGACCUUUCUGGAGGGGCCUCAGAGCCCUCCUCCCUUGCAGGUGACCACAACCUAUCCCUGAGGCCAGCGGGUCACUGUGUAACUCAGCCCCCUCUUAAGUUAUUUAAAAGGAUGAACCAUAAACAGAAGCCAUGCUCUCUCGCCUUGAGGCGCUGAGGGUCUGGCAGGGACAGAAGCAGCUACACCAAAUUCAGAUCAGCAAAGACAGAGGUGACACGGAAAACCGAUUUUCCCUUUGAGAUUAAGAUCCUAAAAACUGUCUUCUAAAUGCGGCUUCUCAGGACUCAUCUGUGAAUGAGAAAACAAGUCUAUAAACGGUGCUCCCAAACUUACCGCUUGAGUAAGGGUCUUAGAAGAGAUUUGUGGGAUGAAGCAGAGGGAUGACUAAAACCCACAUAAAUGCGUGCGUUGGGGAGGGGGGGCAUUCCUGGGUCCCCCCUGAAUUGUUUCAUGGACAACAAUACCACCGGUCACAGAGAAAUUAAGUGAUAAAAGCUGAAAAGCACUAAGGCCCAGGACAGUCAAAUAGAUUGUAUCUCACAAGGAAACUUUAAUAAUGCGAACUGCCAUCAACUACGACGGGGAGAAAAGCCUGGGAACAUUAUCAACGGGUCACAGUGCGGCUUUUAGAGGAAAUGGAUUAAAUAUAAAGAGCUAUUGAUGGCAGUCAUAUGGCAAUGAGGUCAACACGACAGCCAGGCACAGGCGUAUCCAUGGCUGAAUUUUAAACCAGGAUAAUUGGGCUUUAUUUACGUCUUGUCCCGCCCACCAUAUUCAUCUGCUAUUUACGGAGAUUCUAAGACAGAGCAAAACACGGCACAAUUAACAGGUGAAAUGGAUUUUUUUUACUAGCCCUACUAAAAGAUUUGGUUUAAAUUACUCUCCAAGCGCUUUUAGGCCUUUGGCAAGUGAGAACUGAUAGGAUAAACUCCAGACAUUUUCAACUCUCUUGACGGGUUUGAGAGGCUGAGCUGAGACCAGUUCAGAGGUCAGACAAGAAGCCGUUCCUGCAUAAGCGGACACCACCCCCCAAGUAACUGGCGGAGGGGUGCCCAAGUGAAAGGGUCCCCCAGGUCUGCACCCUGAUUAAGAUGCUGGACCCUGACAUGGCACGUGUGACAUGCUGUCAUUACGGACCAUUCCCCUGGGUGGCGGCGGCGGCGGAGGGAGUGGGCACGGCUGUACCUCUUAGUCUCGAUAUUCAAACCGGAUUGUUUUCAGUCACGUUUAAAUACCUUCUCGUCUUGAUUACAAUUUGAAAAGUAACACACUUCAAACCCACAAUUUGAAACAGUGCACCAAGGGAGCGAUUUGCAACAGAAAGAACAUUAUGAUAUUUUUAUCAUACUUGAAAACAGAGUAUUACACCUGGAAUUCAGUGAAGUGAAACUGGCAUGUCAAACAUAAUAGAAGGUUAUAACAGUAAAAGGUAAAAUAAUUAAAAGAAAUAGUAAUUAUACCCAAGACAGGUUUAUAGAAAACAACAUCGGUUAACUGCGUUUACAGACAGGAAAAGAGCUGCGAACGUGACAUUUUCUCUAAGGCUGUGAUUGGUCUUCGCCUUUCCGUCUGCCAGGCUCUAUAAGGAGUGCUGAAGGCAGAUCGGAAAAAUCAAAGCUGAUUAAAAACUAUUUAUAUGAUUUGUGUGCCAAUAUGGGUUGGGCUCCCUUAUGGUGCUUGCAGAGGUGAGUAAAGUUGUAGCAAAGUGAGUCCAAGGCAUUUAUUAGAAAUGAGCAUUGCCAAGCUCCAGGCAUCGAGCGGUAUAGUUCAGAUGGCAAGGCAGAGAGUCUGAAUUCUUCCCAUUGGUUCCCUAGAGGCAGACCUCAGAGAUACUGCAGGUUUGCUUCCAGAAUAUCGCAAGAGAGGGAGUCACAAGACUUUCUGGUUUCUCAGGGCAUGUAAAAGUUAUUUUUACAUUAUACUGUGGUCUAGUAAGUGUGUUAAAGGUAUACAUCUUCAUUAAAAAGUACUUUACUGCUAAAAGAUGCUAACCAUUAUGUGACAAUGCGGGGUUCUCACAAGCUUCAGUUUGGAAGAACUGCACUACCUGUGAAGUGCAAUGAAUCAGAGUAUGCUUGUAUUCAUGGAUCUAGUUUAAAAUGACACAUAUGCGUUUUUGCAUAAAAUACUGUUCUGGAUUUUAUGAGUUUCAUUUAUUAAUUUCUUAUGGUUUGUCUCUAGCUCAUUCAUUCACUCAAUAUUUACCUGGUGGCCUCAGUGCAGACUGGGCAUUUUUUUAGAUGCUAGAGAGAAUAUAAUGAGUAAAACAGACACAUCCCUCAACAUUCCUGCCCUCAUGGAAUUUACAUUCUACCACAUAUGACACUUGGGUUUUUUUGGGUUUUGUUGUUGCUGUUGUUUUGUCUUUUUGUCUUUUCAGGGAUGCACCCACGGCAUACGGAGGUUCCCAGGCUAGGGGUCGGAUCAGAGCUACAGCUGGUGGCCUACACCACAGCCACAACAACGCCAGAUCCGAGCCAUGUCUGCG
This 2612-nucleotide long non-coding RNA is filed under the name Sus scrofa (pig). Its description in RNAcentral is "lncRNA (ENSSSCG00025036647.1)". Lineage: Eukaryota; Metazoa; Chordata; Mammalia; Artiodactyla; Suidae. The record is from RNAcentral.